AUGUAUUCGCCAGGGAAGGGGCGGGAUGAGAGCUUUUUUAACCUCCCCGCCAUAAACUUUAAUCGGAUUCCGGGCUGUUGCACGGCAUGGACGCUCGCCUCUUGCCUGCGUCUCCUUCCCCGUUGUUCCUACUACGGUCUGCUUGCGAGUGCCUCUUUCAAGCGAAUGAGUGAUUUCUUUCUCUUGCCAUGUGCAAUUGCUCCCCCUUCCCUUCCUACCCUCGCUGGCCUCUCUUACACACACUAUGCCUUUCACACGCGGUCUGCGGCCCCCAGUCCCCCCCUCCUUUCUUUCUUUUUUUGCAGUGUCUUCACAUGCAAUCUCUCUCUGAAUGUGCAAUGUCUUUCCUGCUCGGGAGUGCUGCGUCCUUCACAGUGGAUUGGUUCCUCUUUCGGAGCAGAGAUGGCAGUAGAAAACUCCCUACUUUUCCAUCUUAAGACCAAAGGCCUUACAAAGGACCCCAAUAAAGUCAAAGGAAGAAAAAACAUCCAAAUCAUCUCUGUUUCACAAUUUUCCAGCAUGCUUCUUAUGGUGAAAGGAACUGAUUUCAAAGGAAAGGAAGAAAGGAAGAAGAAAUGUCUCUUUCAAGCAUUGCUGGAAGGAGUGGCUUAACGUUCUAAAUAUAAUGGAAAUGUCUGAAUUUGCUGAGCCAAUGAUUUAACCUGAGUUAGGUUUGAGUGAAAUCUUCUUUGAGAUGUGAGCACUGAUUUCCCUUGAAUUUAAUGAGUGGAUCUUUUGAGAGUAAAUUUUAAACACUGACCAUGUGUUGGCUGUGUGAGGGUGCAGAGCAUUCUGCCUCCACACACUUCUGCAGAAAUGCUGGGGGAAAGCCAGCAUUAUGUCAAAGCCAUGAAGACUGAAACUUUAUUUUUAAAGCAUUUUUACUUUUUGCUUUCUCACCAUUAUUUCUAGUUUGGCUUGGGAUUUUUUGUUUCCCUUUUUUUCCCCCCCUCCUCUAAGGAAACAGAAAACAUGCCACAGUAGAAUAUGUUUCAGUCCCAUUAUCAGGAAUAUUUAUUGAUUUGUACUCCUCCCCUCAUCUGUUUUUACUGUCUAAGUAUCGUAAAGUUUUCCUACAAUGAGAGAAAGGAGAUAAAUAAUGUGAUAAGUAUCCAAAUGAUUUUAAAUAUAUUUUGGCAGUAUUUCAGUUAUAUAACUAGUUUCAGGUUGUUGUCAUUUUCAUAUGAAAAAAUGUUGAAAAGAAAUGAAAGUAACACUAAUUCUUUGGCUAUAGGUAUAAAUAUGUGGUGUUGAACCUGAUAAUCUUAUUCCUAUGAAAAAGACAGCCUUUAUUAUAAGGCUGAGGUUUUAGUUCAGGUAUAUUUAUUUGAGUGAGGACAUUGAUAACAAGGUUGUUGUGUUAGCUAAAAAUAAAUAUAAAACAACAAUAGAAGAUAUAAGUUAU
This 1405-nucleotide long non-coding RNA is filed under the name Parus major (Great Tit). RNAcentral describes it as "lncRNA (ENSPMJG00000016295.1)". The record is from RNAcentral. Lineage: Eukaryota; Metazoa; Chordata; Aves; Passeriformes; Paridae.